RNAcentral lists this ribosomal RNA (166 nucleotides) under uncultured Paracoccus sp. RNAcentral's name for it is "partial 16S ribosomal RNA". It matches the Rfam family "Bacterial small subunit ribosomal RNA", at positions 338 to 520 of the family's 1533-position model. The record is from RNAcentral. Lineage: Bacteria; Pseudomonadati; Pseudomonadota; Alphaproteobacteria; Rhodobacterales; Paracoccaceae.
CCUACGGGAGGCAGCAGUGGGGAAUUUUGGACAAUGGGGGCAACCCUGAUCCAGCCAUGCCGCGUGUGUGAAGAAGGCCUUCGGGUUGUAAAGCUCUUUUCAGCUGGGAAGAUAAUGACGGUACCAGCAGAAGAAGCCCCGGCUAACUCCGUGCCAGCAGCCGCGG